UCAAUGUAAUCACACCUCGAAGAAGAAAUGGAAAACCUUGGGAUGUUGAUAAAGCUAAUAUCCUGAGGAAGAACUUCAGCGGGUCCCAGCUGAGUGGGAGAUGGGAUUCAGCAGUACUGGCCUAAUGUGCUGGAGUGGCCCAGGCAGAGGCCCACUGGCAGAGACUAUGGAAGCCUCAAGAGAAAAUCUACCAUAAGAGAAGGACCAGUCUGACAGCAAGCCCAGCUUCCCAAGAAGAUAGAAGGCUGGAGACAAGCUGCUGUCCAGGGGCUGGUUAGGUGAGUGGAGCGCCCUGCUGUGGUGUGCCUGUGGGACCACUGGAGCCUGAAGCUGCCAAGGCAUGACUUGACCAGCCCCGGCAACUGGUUUAGGAUCAUACAACCAUGCACACACCCCUAGGAUUCCUAGAAAUACUAGGGGGAAAAGGAUUUUCCUGGAACUGCGGCUUUCUACAUUUGCACAGGUAGGAGGACAGGAUUUUCAAGAUGCCCAAGAAAGUAAUCAAGCAAUAAUCAUGCGCAUCUUCAAGAAGGAAUGGUGGAGCCCCACAUGACCCACGG
Molecule: long non-coding RNA, 560 nt
Organism: Rhinopithecus roxellana (golden snub-nosed monkey)
Lineage: Eukaryota; Metazoa; Chordata; Mammalia; Primates; Cercopithecidae
Exons: 4
Source: RefSeq, a predicted model, not a curated record